RNAcentral lists this ribosomal RNA (666 nucleotides) under Pseudotalopia sakuraii. RNAcentral describes it as "partial 12S ribosomal RNA". The record is from RNAcentral. Lineage: Eukaryota; Metazoa; Mollusca; Gastropoda; Trochida; Trochidae.
GACAAACAGGCCAAGUUAAGUUUAGUUGGUAUAAAAGGAAGUAAAGAUAAGAUGAUUAGGUAGAGGGGUUUAAUUUUUUUGUGGGGAGGUGGAAUUCGUACACAAAAAAUUAUACUAGCUAUUCCUCUAAUUUGAUGCUUCGAAAACUAAAUGAGAGACCGGGAUUAGAUACCCCGUUAUUUUUUUUGUAAAUUUUGAUUAGCUAGUUUACCUGAGUAUUACGGGUUGAUGUAAUUUAUGUGGUUACCGGGGGGUAAGUUACAAGGUUACUCAGAUACUUAAAACUCAAAAAACUUGGCGGUGCCUUAUUUCCUUCCAGGGGAACCUGUCCUGUAAUUGAUGAUCCACGAUUGAGCUUACUUUUUCUUGAUUGUACCGUGUGUGAAUUAUUAGUUUGUAUACCGUCGUCGUCAGAUUACCUUUGAGAGUUAAGAAGUUGUCUGGUAAAGCAUAAAUAGUACUUGUAUUAGCAAGUGUUAGUGAGUAUUAUUUAAUUUUUGAUGUCAGAUCAAGGUGCAGCUUAUGGGAAAGUAGAGAUGGGUUACAAUAUAGAUUUUAUAUUAUGGAUACUAAUUUGUAAUAAUUUGGUGAAAGUGGACUUGGGAGUAAUGUAAUUUAAUAGUAUUAAAUUAGUUAGUUUGUGUGAAUAGAGGUACUAAGGUGCGC